This 503-nucleotide ribosomal RNA is filed under the name Listeria monocytogenes. RNAcentral describes it as "bacterial SSU rRNA". It matches the Rfam family "Bacterial small subunit ribosomal RNA", at positions 265 to 760 of the family's 1533-position model. Lineage: Bacteria; Bacillati; Bacillota; Bacilli; Caryophanales; Listeriaceae. The record is from RNAcentral.
CUACCAAGGCAACGAUGCAUAGCCGACCUGAGAGGGUGAUCGGCCACACUGGGACUGAGACACGGCCCAGACUCCUACGGGAGGCAGCAGUAGGGAAUCUUCCGCAAUGGACGAAAGUCUGACGGAGCAACGCCGCGUGUAUGAAGAAGGUUUUCGGAUCGUAAAGUACUGUUGUUAGAGAAGAACAAGGAUAAGAGUAACUGCUUGUCCCUUGACGGUAUCUAACCAGAAAGCCACGGCUAACUACGUGCCAGCAGCCGCGGUAAUACGUAGGUGGCAAGCGUUGUCCGGAUUUAUUGGGCGUAAAGCGCGCGCAGGCGGUCUUUUAAGUCUGAUGUGAAAGCCCCCGGCUUAACCGGGGAGGGUCAUUGGAAACUGGAAGACUGGAGUGCAGAAGAGGAGAGUGGAAUUCCACGUGUAGCGGUGAAAUGCGUAGAUAUGUGGAGGAACACCAGUGGCGAAGGCGACUCUCUGGUCUGUAACUGACGCUGAGGCGCGAAAGC